UUCGAUCCCUGGGUCAGGAAGAUCCCCUGGAGAAGGAAAUGGCAAGCCACUCUAGUAUUUUUGCCUGAAAAAUCCCAUGGACAGAAGAGUCUGGUGAUUUAUAUCCAUGGAGUCGCAGAGUCAGACACAACUGAGCAACGAAGCACAGUAUAUUGUUAGGUCAUUUUACUUAGUCUGUUCUGUACCCAUCUUUAUUAUUUCUAGGUAAAUGACAUAUUUGCACCAUCCUUAAGAUUCUCAGCCCAAAUUUCCUAGUGUUGCUAGGCUGGUUAGUCUAAAUUUAAGCAUUUAAUUUACUUGUUCCUAAGAUAAAGGGAGACCUUUAAUACUUAAAUGACCCCAGCCUGGUAUUAAUGAUAUAGAUCCAUCCCAUUAUGGGGGUUUUCCUGUAAAGAUGAGAUGUUACAGUUUUUGAUUGAGACUCAGGUUUUCAUUCUGAUAGAGUUUUGAGUGUGCCUAAAAGAAAAUUUAAAUCUAUGGCCAGAGCAAGUAUUAUUAAUUGACUAGGUGAGAGGAUCCCAUCUAGUAGUAAUACCAUGAGUAGAAAGAACAGGAUUGAACUCUUCUGAAAUAAAUUUCCUAAGGUCUAUCUAUUCAGAGGCUUGGAGGGGAGAAAUCCACCAAGAUAAUCCAGAAAUACCAGACACAGGUAACUAGCCACAAACCCAACAAUUUGAUUGAUUUUUAAAACUAGCACAGAAUCCUGUCCAUGAGAAAAAACAUUUGAUUUAUAUGCAAAAGUCAAAGAAGUCAAGAAAACACUAUAAAUGAUCAUACAAAUCAGGUCUACCAUCUUGGGCAAGCUGUCUGCUUCUGAUAUUGUCUUCUCAUCCUGGUGGAGUGGACCAACGGACCUUUUUAUCCUCUGAUAAAACGUCCUUCCACCCAGGUUGGAAACAGUCCCUUAAGUGAUGUCUUUUUCCAGUCUUGUUGCAGGUUAUGAGGCAUUUGAUCUUCAUCCAAAGAUUACUGAAAUCAGCUUCAGAAACAAACUUAGAGUGUCCUUUAAUAAUUCAAUUCUUUUACAUUAAUAUAGCAUAAUAACACAGAACUAUCCAGGAGAUGAGUCUUAGUAGAUACAGACCUCCAGUAACAAAACUAGGAUUUAACAUUCAUUGAACCAUCUUUUUCUCCCUAAAAAUACCCUCAUUUUUACCAAAUAUAACCAAAUUAAGACCAGUUUGUGAAAAAAGUCUGAUUUCAAUAAACUUUUCCUGAUGAUUUAUAUAAACAUAAUUAAUGAUAGACUUUUUUGUUUUUUCCUUGCUGAAACUUAUAAAA
This is a non-coding RNA of Odocoileus virginianus texanus, 1281 nucleotides long. Lineage: Eukaryota; Metazoa; Chordata; Mammalia; Artiodactyla; Cervidae. The record is from RefSeq and is a predicted model, not a curated record.